RNAcentral lists this ribosomal RNA (178 nucleotides) under Escherichia coli. RNAcentral describes it as "partial 16S ribosomal RNA". It matches the Rfam family "Bacterial small subunit ribosomal RNA", at positions 1 to 170 of the family's 1533-position model. Lineage: Bacteria; Pseudomonadati; Pseudomonadota; Gammaproteobacteria; Enterobacterales; Enterobacteriaceae. The record is from RNAcentral.
UUAAAUUGAAGAGUUUGAUCAUGGCUCAGAUUGAACGCUGGCGGCAGGCCUAACACAUGCAAGUCGAACGGUAACAGAAAGCAGCUUGCUGCUUUGCUGACGAGUGGCGGACGGGUGAGUAAUGUCUGGGAAACUGCCUGAUGGAGGGGGAUAACUACUGGAAACGGUAGCUAAUACC